GCACCAAAGUACAGCCCAGUCGAUUGUCUGUUUGGCGAGGGUCAUGCUGGUGCCAGAGAGACUCAACGUGAAUCCAGAUGGUUCUCCUCUCCUCGUGGAGGCCGUCUCUACACCUUUGAUACAGCG
Molecule: small nucleolar RNA, 126 nt
Filed under: Fundulus heteroclitus (mummichog)
Lineage: Eukaryota; Metazoa; Chordata; Actinopteri; Cyprinodontiformes; Fundulidae
Description: Small nucleolar RNA SNORA55 (ENSFHEG00000017224.1)
Source: RNAcentral